GAUGAACGCUGGCGGCGUGCCUAAUACAUGCAAGUCGAGCGAAUGGAUUAAGAGCUUGCUCAUAUGAAGUUAGCGGCGGACGGGUGAGUAACACGUGGGUAACCUGCCCAUAAGACUGGGAUAACUCCGGGAAACCGGGGCUAAUACCGGAUAACAUUUUGAACCGCAUGGUUCGAAAUUGAAAGGCGGCUUCGGCGGUCACUUAUGGAUGGACCCGGGUCGCAUUAGCUAGUUGGUGAGGUAACGGCUCACCGAGGCAACGAUGCGUAGCCGACCUGAGAGGGUGAUCGGCCACACUGGGACUGAGACACGGCCCAGACUCCUACGGGAGGCAGCAGUAGGGAAUCUUCCGCAAUGGACGAAAGUCUGACGGAGCAACGCCGCGUGAGUGAUGAAGGCUUUCGGGUCGUAAAACUCUGUUGUUAGGGAAGAACAAGUGCUAGUUGAAUAAGCUGGCACCUUGACGGUACCUAACCAGAAAGCCACGGCUAACUACGUGCCAGCCGCCGCAGUAA
RNAcentral lists this ribosomal RNA (515 nucleotides) under uncultured bacterium. RNAcentral describes it as "partial 16S ribosomal RNA". It matches the Rfam family "Bacterial small subunit ribosomal RNA", at positions 28 to 523 of the family's 1533-position model. The record is from RNAcentral.